This 1237-nucleotide long non-coding RNA is filed under the name Capsicum annuum. RNAcentral's name for it is "long non-coding RNA (CANN_LNC016118)". The record is from RNAcentral. Lineage: Eukaryota; Viridiplantae; Streptophyta; Magnoliopsida; Solanales; Solanaceae.
AGGACAUAAGGGUGGAGUUCCGUCAAGUUUUUGGCGAAUCAAGUGCAAAUUAAAUUCAGAUGAAGCUGCCAUCCCAGGGAAAUUGCUUCUUUUAUUUUGUGGUCUAGAGUGAUUGGAAGCCCUUCAUUGUUGAAGGAAGUUCUUUUCUUUUUUAUCAGCUGGCAUAGUCCCUGUACAUUUCACGCCGUCGCUGCUUAAUUUUAUCAUUUCUUUCUUCAGAACAGGUACGCUUCCCUUUCUAUUUAUGACUAAACAUCCAAACACAUGAUAUCAAAAUUCAAAAAGUAAAAAUAUGUACAAAAUCGCAGCGCGAAUGAGCAGUUAAAGAAAAUAGAAUAGCAAGCACAAAGUAAGUUAUUGCUAAAUUGGCCUUUAGCUAAAAAUAUAAUAGUGCAGAAAUUUGGCCCCACAACCCUACAAAUUCAUCCUCUUUUUGGAUUUAUUUAUUCAACACAAGGUAAGUUAAUUGCAUAUUUAUUCAUUCCUUUUUCAAAACCUUUUUCUGUGUGUGUAAUUGAAUUGGUUGUUCCGAAAAGAAUUAAUUUCAAAUCUGGUUAAUCUAGUGUCUACAGAGUUUAGCUUUGUGGGUUUUGUUCUGUGAUAGAAGAAUUUACUUUUCAAGAAUUUGUCAGAACCAUGCAAAAUUAGAGCAACAAAGACAAUAUCGCAGAUUUUAAAAUAAAAUUAUUAUGCAAUUACCUUGAUAACAAUAAAAGACAAACAAGAAACAAACUUCAAACUCGUAAAAAUACCAAUCUUUGCUCAAUCAAAAUUAAGAAGAAAAACCGAAGUAGAAAGAAGGUAAAAGUUAGCGGUGAAAAUGGAUAAGGAAGAAAGUCAAACGGCUAUAUGAUAAGAGAAAAAGCAGUUGAAAACGACCAAAAUGCCCUUCUUAUAUAAGCAGACAUGUCGAUGGUGUCAUGUCUGAUUCACCAGCCACACUCUGACUUAUUAUAUAGGAUAAAAUAUGUAUGGAAGAAAAUAUUAAGAAUUUCAAUGUAGUUUUUUUUAUUUCCCAUCCGGUAUUCAGUGCCCACAUUGGAGCCUCGACUAAUCUGGAUCGCGCACAGCAGGGCCCAUUAAGAUGGCGGCGCUCCCAACAGAGUUUUCUCCAUACCUAGGGUCGAACCCUCGACCUUUGGUUAAGGGUGGAGCAGCCCCAUCCACUGCACCACAACCCAUGUUGGUAAUGUACUUGUGUUUUGAACUGUACUAUUGAGUAUGAAAAGACUCCAAA